GACGAACGCUGGCGGCGUGCUUAACACAUGCAAGUCGAACGGAAAGGCCCUGCUUUUGUGGGGUGCUCGAGUGGCGAACGGGUGAGUAACACGUGAGUAACCUGCCCUUGACUUUGGGAUAACUUCAGGAAACUGGGGCUAAUACCGGAUAGGAUCUCCUGCUGCAUGGGGGGGGUUGGAAAGUUUCGGCGGUGGGGGAUGGACUCGCGGCUUAUCAGCUUGUUGGUGGGGUAGUGGCUUACCAAGGCUUUGACGGGUAGCCGGCCUGAGAGGGUGACCGGCCACAUUGGGCCUGAGAUACGGCCCAGACUCCUACGGGAGGCAGCAGUGGGGAAUCUUGCACAAUGGGCGGAAGCCUGAUGCAGCAACGCCGCGUGCGGGAUGACGGCUUUCGGGUUGUAAACCGCUUUCGACUGUGACGAAGCGUGAGUGACGGUAAUGGGUAAAGAAGCACCGGCUAACUACGUG
This 468-nucleotide ribosomal RNA is filed under the name uncultured bacterium. RNAcentral's name for it is "partial 16S ribosomal RNA". It matches the Rfam family "Bacterial small subunit ribosomal RNA", at positions 28 to 507 of the family's 1533-position model. The record is from RNAcentral.